UAACCUACUAAAUAGCCCGUAUUGCUUUGGCAGUACGCUGGCUUCUUAGAGGGACUAUCGGCUCAAGCCGAUGGAAGUUUGAGGCAAUAACAGGUCUGUGAUGCCCUUAGAUGUUCUGGGCCGCACGCGCGCUACACUGACAGAGCCAGCGAGUACUCCCUUGGUCGAAAGACCCGGGUAAUCUUGUUAAACUCUGUCGUGCUGGGGAUAGGGCAUUGCAAUUAUUGCCCUUCAACGAGGAAUUCCUAGUAAGCGCAAGUCAUCAGCUUGCGUUGAUUACGUCCCUGCCCUUUGUACACACCGCCCGUCGCU
This 312-nucleotide ribosomal RNA is filed under the name uncultured fungus. RNAcentral describes it as "SSU rRNA". It matches the Rfam family "Eukaryotic small subunit ribosomal RNA", at positions 1344 to 1680 of the family's 1831-position model. Lineage: Eukaryota; Fungi. The record is from RNAcentral.